RNAcentral lists this ribosomal RNA (407 nucleotides) under uncultured prokaryote. Its description in RNAcentral is "bacterial SSU rRNA". It matches the Rfam family "Bacterial small subunit ribosomal RNA", at positions 355 to 774 of the family's 1533-position model. The record is from RNAcentral.
UGGGGAAUAUUGCACAAUGGGCGGAAGCCUGAUGCAGCAACGCCGCGUGCGGGAUGACGGCCUUCGGGUUGUAAACCGCUUUCAGUAGGGACGAAGAGCAAGUGACGGUACCUACAGAAGAAGCACCGGCUAACUACGUGCCAGCAGCCGCGGUGAUACGUAGGGUGCGAGCGUUGUCCGGAAGUAUUGGGCGUAAAGAGCUUGUAGGCGGUGGGAUGCGUCGUAAGUGAAAACUCAGGGCUUAACCCUGGGCUUGCUUGCGAUACGGGCUGACUUGAGGAAGGUAGAGGAGAAUGGAAUUCCCGGUGGAGCGGUGGAAUGCGCAGAUAGCGGGAGGAACACCAGUGGCGAAGGCGGUUCUCUGGACCUUUCCUGACGCUGAGAAGCGAAAGCGUGGGGAGCAAACA